RNAcentral lists this ribosomal RNA (370 nucleotides) under uncultured bacterium. RNAcentral describes it as "bacterial SSU rRNA". It matches the Rfam family "Bacterial small subunit ribosomal RNA", at positions 28 to 395 of the family's 1533-position model. The record is from RNAcentral.
GAUGAACGCUAGCGGCAGGCUUAACACAUGCAAGUCGAGGGGCAGCAAGGGUAGCAAUACCUGUUGGCGACCGGCAAACGGGUGCGGAACACGUACAGAAUCUACCUUUAUCUGGGGCAUAGCCCGAAGAAAUUCGGAUUAAUACCCCAUAAUAUAUAUGAGUGGCAUCACUUGAAUAUUAAAACUCCGGUGGAUAGAGAUGACUGUGCGUCCCAUUAGCUAGUGGUAGGGUAACGGCCUACCAAGGCGACGAUGGGUAGCUGGUGUGAGAGCACGACCAGCCACACGGGCACUGAGACACGGGCCCGACUCCGUACGGGAGGCAGCAGUGAGGAAUAUUGGUCAAUGGACGCAAGUCUGAACCAGCCAU